GUGCCAGCCGCUGGCGGUAAUACAGAGGUCUCAAGCGUUGUUCGGAUUCAUUGGGCGUAAAGGGUGCGUAGGUGGCUUGGUAAGUUGAAGGUGAAAUCUCGGAGCUCAACUCCGAAACUGCCUUCAAUACUGCCGGGCUUGAGGAUUGUAGAGGAGAGUGGGAAUUCACGGUGUAGCAGUGAAAUGCGUAGAUAUCGUGAGGAAGACCAGUGGCGAAGGCGACUCUCUGGGCAAUUCCUGACACUGAGGCACGAAGGCCAGGGUAGCGAACGGGAUUAGAUACCCCGGUAGUCCUGGCAGUAAACGGUGCACGUUUGGUGUGGGAGGAUUCGACCCUUCCGUGCCGGAGCUAACGCGUUAAACGUGCCGCCUGGGAAGUACGGUCGCAAGAUUAAAACUCAAAGAAAUUGACGGGGCCCGCACAAGCGGUGGAGUAUGUGGCUUAAUUCGAUGCAACGCGAAGAACCUUACCUGGCCUUGACAUGUAUCGUGACAAUCUGUGAAAGCAGGUGACUGCCCGCAAGGGUGA
Molecule: ribosomal RNA, 529 nt
Filed under: uncultured Spartobacteria bacterium
Lineage: Bacteria; Pseudomonadati; Verrucomicrobiota; Spartobacteria
Description: bacterial SSU rRNA
Rfam family: Bacterial small subunit ribosomal RNA
Source: RNAcentral